GUGAAGUACGUGUCGGAUUAUUGGGCGUAAGCGCGCGCAGGCGGUCCUUUAAGUCUGAUGUGAAAUCCCGUGGCUUAACCACGGGCGGUCAUUGGAAACUGGGGGACUUGAGUGCAGAAGAGAAGAGCGGAAUUCCACGUGUAGCGGUGAAAUGCGUAGAGAUGUGGAGGAACACCAGUGGCGAAGGCGGCUCUUUGGUCUGUAACUGACGCUGAGGCGCGAAAGCGUGGGGAGCGAACAGGAUUAGAUACCCUGGUAGUCCACGCCGUAAACGAUGAGUGCUAAGUGUUAGAGGGUUUCCGCCCUUUAGUGCUGCAGUUAACGCAUUAAGCACUCCGCCUGGGGAGUACGGCCGCAAGGCUGAAACUCAAAGGAAUUGACGGGGGCCCGCACAAGCGGUGGAGCAUGUGGUUUAAUUCGAAGCAACGCGAAGAACCUUACCAGGUCUUGACAUCCCGCUGCCCGGUCUGGAGACAGGCCUUUCCCUUCGGGGACAGCGGUGACAGGUGGUGCAUGGUUGUCGUCAGCUCGUGUCGUGAGAUGUUGGGUUAAGUCCCGCAACGAGCGCAACCCUUGACCUUAGUUGCCAGCAUUCAGUUGGGCACUCUAAGGUGACUGCCGGUGACAAACCGGAGGAAGGUGGGGAUGACGUCAAAUCAUCAUGCCCCUUAUGACCUGGGCUACACACGUGCUACAAUGGAUGGUACAAAGGGUUGCAAGACCGCGAGGUUAAGCCAAUCCCAUAAAACCAUUCUCAGUUCGGAUUGCAGGCUGCAACUCGCCUGCAUGAAGCCGGAAUCGCUAGUAAUCGUGGAUCAGCAUGCCACGGUGAAUACGUUCCCGGGCCUUGUACACACCGCCCGUCACACCACGAGAGUCUGUAACACCCGAAGUCGGUGGGGUAACCUUUUGGAGCCAGCCGCCGACGUGAGAUAGAUGAUUGGGGUUGAAGUCCUAACAGGUAAGACGAAGAUAGGAAAA
Molecule: ribosomal RNA, 981 nt
Filed under: Lederbergia graminis
Lineage: Bacteria; Bacillati; Bacillota; Bacilli; Caryophanales; Bacillaceae
Description: bacterial SSU rRNA
Rfam family: Bacterial small subunit ribosomal RNA
Source: RNAcentral